Molecule: ribosomal RNA, 292 nt
Filed under: uncultured Chloroflexota bacterium
Lineage: Bacteria; Bacillati; Chloroflexota
Description: uncultured Chloroflexi bacterium partial 16S ribosomal RNA
Rfam family: Bacterial small subunit ribosomal RNA
Source: RNAcentral
GUGCCAGCAGCCGCGGUAAUACAGAGGAGCCAAGCGUUGUCCGGAUUGACUGGGCGUAAAGCGCACGCAGGCGGAUGUGCGCGUGGGGUGUGAAAUCUGGCCGCUUAACGGCCAGGCGCCAUCCCAUACGGCACAUCUGGAGGGCUGCAGAGGUCGAUGGAAUUGCCGGUGUAGUGGUGAAAUGCGUAGAGAUCGGCAGGAACACCCAGGGGGAAACCAGUCGACUGGGCAGCACCUGACGCUGAGGUGCGAGAGCGUGGGGAGCGAACCGGAUUAGAUACCCUUGUAGUCC